UCUUAUGGCCACACCACUCUCAACAUGCCCAGUUCUGCCUGAUCUUGGAAGCUAAGCAGGGUCAGGCCUGGUUAGUGCUUGGAUAGGAGAAAACUGGGCUGGAAAGGC
Molecule: ribosomal RNA, 108 nt
Filed under: Erinaceus europaeus (western European hedgehog)
Lineage: Eukaryota; Metazoa; Chordata; Mammalia; Eulipotyphla; Erinaceidae
Source: RNAcentral